GAUGAACGCUGGCGGCGUGCCUAAUACAUGCAAGUCGAGCGAACGGACGAGAAGCUUGCUUCUCUGAUGUUAGCGGCGGACGGGUGAGUAACACGUGGAUAACCUACCUAUAAGACUGGGAUAACUUCGGGAAACCGGAGCUAAUACCGGAUAAUAUUUUGAACCGCAUGGUUCAAAAGUGAAAGACGGUCUUGCUGUCACUUAUAGAUGGAUCCGCGCUGCAUUAGCUAGUUGGUAAGGUAGCGGCUUACCAAGGCAACGAUGCAUAGCCGACCUGAGAGGGUGAUCGGCCACACUGGAACUGAGACACGGUCCAGACUCCUACGGGAGGCAGCAGUAGGGAAUCUUCCGCAAUGGGCGAAAGCCUGACGGAGCAACGCCGCGUGAGUGAUGAAGGUCUUCGGAUCGUAAAACUCUGUUAUUAGGGAAGAACAUAUGUGUAAGUAACUGUGCACAUCUUGACGGUACCUAAUCAGAAAGCCACGGCUAACUACGUGCCAGCAGCCGCGGUAAUACGUAGGUGGCAAGCGUUAUCCGGAAUUAUUGGGCGUAAAGCGCGCGUAGGCGGUUUUUUAGUCUGAUGUGAAAGCCCACGGCUCAACCGUGGAGGGUCAUUGGAAACUGGAAAACUUGAGUGCAGAAGAGGAAAGUGGAAUUCCAUGUGUAGCGGUGAAAUGCGCAGAGAUAUGGAGGAACACCAGUGGCGAAGGCGACUUUCUGGUCUGUAACUGACGCUGAUGUGCGAAAGCGUGGGGAUCAAACAGGAUUAGAUGCCCUGGUAGUCCACGCCGUAAACGAUGAGUGCUAAGUGUUAGGGGGUUUCCGCCCCUUAGUGCUGCAGCUAACGCAUUAAGCACUCCGCCUGGGGAGUACGACCGCAAGGUUGAAACUCAAAGGAAUUGACGGGGACCCGCACAAGCGGUGGAGCAUGUGGUUUAAUUCGAAGCAACGCGAAGAACCUUACCAAAUCUUGACAUCCUUUGACAACUCUAGAGAUAGAGCUUUCCCCUUCGGGGGACAAAGUGACAGGUGGUGCAUGGUUGUCGUCAGCUCGUGUCGUGAGAUGUUGGGUUAAGUCCCGCAACGAGCGCAACCCUUAAGCUUAGUUGCCAUCAUUAAGUUGGGCACUCUAAGUUGACUGCCGGUGACAAACCGGAGGAAGGUGGGGAUGACGUCAAAUCAUCAUGCCCCUUAUGAUUUGGGCUACACACGUGCUACAAUGGACAAUACAAAGGGCAGCGAAACCGCGAGGUCAAGCAAAUCCCAUAAAGUUGUUCUCAGUUCGGAUUGUAGUCUGCAACUCGACUACAUGAAGCUGGAAUCGCUAGUAAUCGUAGAUCAGCAUGCUACGGUGAAUACGUUCCCGGGUCU
This 1371-nucleotide ribosomal RNA is filed under the name uncultured bacterium. Its description in RNAcentral is "bacterial SSU rRNA". It matches the Rfam family "Bacterial small subunit ribosomal RNA", at positions 28 to 1381 of the family's 1533-position model. The record is from RNAcentral.